CGAAAAGAAUUGGCUCUGAAGGAUGGGUAUAUGGGGAAUGUUUUAGCCUUGUUGAUUUUUUAUUGGAGAUGGGGUCGCAAGAUUUCGUUUCUUAUUUUUAAUCUAUAAUAACAAUCCAUUCUAAUCAACUAUAUACAACAAACAUCUAAUUCAGAACUGGUACGAACAAGGAGAAUCCGACUGUUUAAUUAAAACAAAGCAUUGUGACGGUUCGUAAGAAUGUAGACACAAUGUGAUUUCUGCCCAGUGCUCUGAAUGUUAACGUGAAGGAAUUCAAACAAGCGCGGGUAAACGGCGGGAGUAACUAUGACUCUCUUAAGGUAGCCAAAUGCCUCGUCAUCUAAUUGGUGACGCGCACGAAUGGAUUAAUGAGAUUCUCACUGUCUCUACCCACCAUCUAGCGAAACCACAGCCAAGGGAACGGGCUUGGAAAAGAAAGCGGGGAAAGAAGACCCUGUUGAGCUUGACUCUAGUCUGCUUCUGUGAAAAGACUUUGGAGGUGUAGCGUAAGGAGGAGCUUUACGGCGAACUUGAAACACUCCUACUUCGAACGUCUUUUUACUUCGGGUGUAAAAUGAUAUUGAAAGGAUGAAAGUUCUUUUAUUAUUUGAAUUCAUUGUAUUUUAAAAUACAACAAUCAAUCACCCAACAAAAGCAGGUGGGGAGUUUGACUGGGGCGGUACAUCUGCGAAAAAAUAGCGCAGGUGAACCAAGGCGGGCUCAGUGAGAAGAGAAAUCUCACGUAGAGCUAAAGGGCAAAAGCCCGCUUGAUUUAGUCUUUCAGUGUGAGAACAAACGAGGAAACUGUGUCCUAUCGAUCCUUUAUGUUUUGCGGAGAACCUCCGCCUAGAGGUGCCAGAAAAGCUACCACAGGGAUAACUGGCUUGUGGCUGCCAAGCGUCCAAAGCGACGUAGCUUUUUGAUCCUUCGAUGUCGGCUCUUCUCAUCAUUCCGUUGCAGAAGGCGGAAAGUGUCAGAUUGUUCACCUGUAAAAGAGGAACGUGAGCUGGGUUUAGACCGUCGUGAGACAGGUUAGUUUUACCCUACUUUCAGAUUGAUUUCUUGACUCGACACGGAGGUAGUACGAGAGGAACUGUCCGUGGGCGCAUUUGGUUCGUGCUUUCGUUGAACAACGAGUGAGCAGAUGCUACGCGCUCUUUUGAUAAAAACUGAAGGCCUCUAAAGUUUGAAUCAGACGAGAACAUGGAAGUCUAUAUUGCUUUUGAUUUUAUCCAGAUGCAUGAAUAUUAUUUAUAAAUGCUGUGUGGAGUUGUUGU
This 1277-nucleotide ribosomal RNA is filed under the name metagenome. RNAcentral describes it as "eukaryotic LSU rRNA". It matches the Rfam family "Eukaryotic large subunit ribosomal RNA", at positions 1939 to 3226 of the family's 3401-position model. The record is from RNAcentral.